CCUACGGGAGGCAGCAGUGAGGAAUAUUGGGCAAUGGAGGCAAAUCUGAUCCAGCCAUGCCGCGUGCAGGAAGACUGCCCUAUGGGUUGUAAACUGCUUUUAUACGGGAGAAAACCCCCCUACUUGUACCAGUCUGACGGUACCGUACGAAUAAACACCGGCUAACUCCGUGCCAGCAGCCGCGGUAAU
RNAcentral lists this ribosomal RNA (189 nucleotides) under uncultured bacterium. RNAcentral's name for it is "partial 16S ribosomal RNA". It matches the Rfam family "Bacterial small subunit ribosomal RNA", at positions 338 to 524 of the family's 1533-position model. The record is from RNAcentral.